GAUGAACGCUGGCGGCGUGCCUAAUACAUGCAAGUCGAGCGAACAGACGAGGAGCUUGCUCCUUUGACGUUAGCGGCGGACGGGUGAGUAACACGUGGAUAACCUACCUAUGAGACUGGGAUAACUUCGGGAAACCGGAGCUAAUACCGGAUAACAUGCUGAACCGCAUGGUUCAACAGAGAAAGACGGUCUUGCUGUCACUUAUAGAUGGAUCCGCGCCGCAUUAGCUAGUUGGGAAUGAAACGGCUUAUCACGGCUACCAUGCGUAACCGAGCUGACAGGGUGAUCGGCCACGCUGGAACUGAGACACUGCCCAGACUCCUACGGGAGGCAACAAUAGGGAAUCGUGCGCAAUGGUCAAAAACCUGACCGACCAACGCCGCGAGAGUGAACAAGGUCUUCAGAUCGUUAAACUCUGUUAAUACGGAAGAACCAAUGUGGAAGUAACUAUGCACGGCUUGACGGUUCCUAAUCAUAACGCCACUGCUAACUACGUGCCAGUAGUCGCGAUUAUACGUACGUGGCGAGCGCUAUCCGGAAUUAUUGGGCCUAAAGCGCGCGCAUGCGGUUUUUUAGUCUGAUGUGAAAGCCCACGGCUCAACCGUGGAGGGUCAUUGGAAACUGGAAAACUUGAGUGCAGAAGAGGAAAGUGGAAUUCCAUGUGUAGCGGUGAAAUGCGCAGAGAUAUGGAGGAACACCAGUGGCGAAGGCGACUUUCUGGUCUGUAACUGACGCUGAUGUGCGAAAGCGUGGGGAUCAAACAGGAUUAGAUACCCUGGUAGUCCACGCCGUAAACGAUGAGUGCUAAGUGUUAGGGGGUUUCCGCCCCUUAGUGCUGCAGCUAACGCAUUAAGCACUCCGCCUGGGGAGUACGACCGCAAGGUUGAAACUCAAAGGAAUUGACGGGGACCCGCACAAGCGGUGGAGCAUGUGGUUUAAUUCGAAGCAACGCGAAGAACCUUACCAAAUCUUGACAUCCUCUGACCCCUCUAGAGAUAGAGUUUUCCCCUUCGGGGGACAGAGUGACAGGUGGUGCAUGGUUGUCGUCAGCUCGUGUCGUGAGAUGUUGGGUUAAGUCCCGCAACGAGCGCAACCCUUAAGCUUAGUUGCCAUCAUUAAGUUGGGCACUCUAAGUUGACUGCCGGUGACAAACCGGAGGAAGGUGGGGAUGACGUCAAAUCAUCAUGCCCCUUAUGAUUUGGGCUACACACGUGCUACAAUGGACAAUACAAAGGGUAGCGAAACCGCGAGGUCAAGCAAAUCCCAUAAAGUUGUUCUCAGUUCGGAUUGUAGUCUGCAACUCGACUACAUGAAGCUGGAAUCGCUAGUAAUCGUGGAUCAGCAUGCUACGGUGAAUACGUUCCCGGGUCU
Molecule: ribosomal RNA, 1371 nt
Filed under: uncultured bacterium
Lineage: Bacteria
Description: bacterial SSU rRNA
Rfam family: Bacterial small subunit ribosomal RNA
Source: RNAcentral